UACGAGGGGUGCAAACGUUGCUCGGAAUUAUUGGGCGUAAAGCGCACGUAGGCGGCUUUGCAAGUCCCAUGUGAAAUCCCACGGCUCAACCGUGGAAGUGCAUGGGAAACUGCAGAGCUUGAGUACUUAAGAGGAUCGCGGAAUUCCCGGUGUAGAGGUGAAAUUCGUAGAUAUCGGGAGGAACACCAGUGGCGAAGGCGGCGAUCUGGGAAGAUACUGACGCUGAGGUGCGAAAGCGUGGGGAGCAAACAGG
This 253-nucleotide ribosomal RNA is filed under the name uncultured bacterium. RNAcentral's name for it is "partial 16S ribosomal RNA". It matches the Rfam family "Bacterial small subunit ribosomal RNA", at positions 524 to 776 of the family's 1533-position model. The record is from RNAcentral.